Molecule: small nuclear RNA, 107 nt
Organism: Monodelphis domestica (gray short-tailed opossum)
Lineage: Eukaryota; Metazoa; Chordata; Mammalia; Didelphimorphia; Didelphidae
Source: Ensembl
AUGUAUCCUGGCUGCACGUAGACUAAAAUUGGGAUGAUACAGAGAAGAUGAGCGUGGCCCCUGCGCAAGGAGCUCACUCUCUGGAUUCCAGGAGGCAGCAAAUUUCU